GUGAGGAAUAUUGGUCAAUGGGCGCAAGCCUGAACCAGCCAUGCCGCGUGCAGGAUGACUGCCCUAUGGGUUGUAAACUGCUUUUAUACGGGAAGAAACCCCUCCACGUGUGGAGGAUUGACGGUACCGUAAGAAUAAGGAUCGGCUAACUCCGUGCCAGCAGCCGCGGUAAUACGGAGGAUCCAAGCGUUAUCCGGAAUCAUUGGGUUUAAAGGGUCCGUAGGCGGGUCUGUAAGUCAGUGGUGAAAUCUCCCGGCUCAACCGGGAAACUGCCAUUGAUACUGAAGGUCUUGAAUGUUUGUGAAGUAACUAGAAUAUGUAGUGUAGCGGUGAAAUGCUUAGAUAUUACAUGGAAUACCGAUUGCGAAGGCAGGUUACUAACAAAUGAUUGACGCUGAUGGACGAAAGCGUGGGGAGCGAACAGGAUUAGAUACCCCAGUAGUCC
Molecule: ribosomal RNA, 445 nt
Filed under: uncultured bacterium
Lineage: Bacteria
Description: partial 16S ribosomal RNA
Rfam family: Bacterial small subunit ribosomal RNA
Source: RNAcentral